AUUUUGAAUCGCGGUGUGAGGAAGAUUUUAGCUUGCCUUUGGCCCUCUGUUCUCGUGUUGAGGGUUCAACAUUCGAACACGCGGAGAGCUGUUUUUCCCAAGCUGGGCCAAGCCCUUCCAACUUCUGCCAAAGCGCUCUCGCCAGCCGGAGAUCACACAAGAAUCAUGCUAAGUGUGCCUGGCAAGAUGAGGCUUCUCUCAACUAUUUUCUUGGUGGUGAUCCUAAACGUGUUGACUGGUGAAGUUUCUGCCAAUAACCAGAGUACCGCAGAGCUGAGUGGGAAUACCUUUUGCCCAGCAUCAUCGGCCAUAACUAGUGUAUCAAUCCCUUCAAGCCUCUACUUGAAUUACACUUCAGCAAAAGCACUGUGCAGCAGGAACAAUGGCACAAUUCUCUCUGAAUCUUCGUUCCAAGCUGGCUGCUCCCCUCGCAAUGUCUUUGCAUGGAGAGGAUUGCCAAAUGCCGAGAACAAAGCAUUAACCACCUAUGGCAAUUCACAUGUCCUAGCAGCGCGUUUACGUGUUGUGUGUGAAAUACCUCUGCGCUGUAAUGUACCUUAUAUUGCCAAUGGUACUGCUGACAGAACAGUGGUGAAAGUCUCCCACAAUGUUACAUUUUCAUGCCAAGAGGGUCAGGGGAUUGUGGGUGAUGCCACACCAAGUUGCUUGCUUAAUGGAAGUCUCACUUCAGUGCCAUACU
Sycon ciliatum is the source of this 700-nucleotide long non-coding RNA. RefSeq lists it as uncharacterized. NCBI's taxonomy places the organism in Eukaryota, Metazoa, Porifera, Calcarea, Leucosolenida, Sycettidae. The record is from RefSeq and is a predicted model, not a curated record. The transcript has 5 exons.